Molecule: ribosomal RNA, 305 nt
Filed under: uncultured bacterium
Lineage: Bacteria
Description: bacterial SSU rRNA
Rfam family: Bacterial small subunit ribosomal RNA
Source: RNAcentral
CCUACGGGACGUAGCAGUGAGGAAUAUUGGUCAAUGGUCGGGAGACUGAACCAGCCAAGCCGCGUGAGGGAUGAAGGUACAGAGUAUCGUAAACCUCUUUUGUCAGGGAACAAAGGCGGGGACGCGUCCCCGGAUGAGUGUACCUGAAGAAAAAGCAUCGGCUAACUCCGUGCCAGCAGCCGCGGUAAUACGGAGGAUGCGAGCGUUAUCCGGAUUUAUUGGGUUUAAAGGGCGCGUAGGCGGAUGUGCAAGUCAGUCGUGAAAUACCGGGGCUCAACCCCGGGGCUGCGAUUGAAACUGCACAA